UGGAUCCAGACUUUGAUCCUGGCUCAGGACGAACGCUGGCGGCACGCUUAACACAUGCAAGUCGAACGGAGGAUUUUUGAUUUAUUGAGAAUCCUUAGUGGCGGACGGGUGAGUAACACGUGAGCAACCUGCCUUUGAGAGAGGGAUAGCUUCUGGAAACGGAUGGUAAUACCUCAUGACAUACAGAUAUCGCAUGGUAACUGUAUCAAAGAUUUAUCACUCAAAGAUGGGCUCGCGUCUGAUUAGGUAGUUGGUGAGGUAACGGCUCACCAAGUCGACGAUCAGUAGCCGGACUGAGAGGUUGAACGGCCACAUUGGGACUGAGACACGGCCCAGACUCCUACGGGAGGCAGCAGUGGGGAAUAUUGCACAAUGGGGGAAACCCUGAUGCAGCGAUGCCGCGUGGAGGAAGAAGGUUUUCGGAUUGUAAACUCCUGUCUUAAAGGACGAUAAUGACGGUACUUUAGGAGGAAGCUCCGGCUAACUACGUGCCAGCAGCCGCGGUAAUACGUAGGGAGCGAGCGUUGUCCGGAAUUACUGGGUGUAAAGGGAGCGUAGGCGGGAUUGCAAGUCAGAUGUGAAAUGCAGAGGCUAAACCUCUGAGCUGCAUUUGAAACUGUAGUUCUUGAGUGAAGUAGAGGUAAGCGGAAUUCCUGGUGUAGCGGUGAAAUGCGUAGAUAUCAGGAGGAACACCGGUGGCGAAGGCGGCUUACUGGGCUUUUACUGACGCUGAGGCUCGAAAGCGUGGGUAGCAAACAGGAUUAGAUACCCUGGUAGUCCACGCCGUAAACGAUGAUUACUAGGUGUGGGGGGACUGACCCCUUCCGUGCCGCAGUUAACACAAUAAGUAAUCCACCUGGGGAGUACGGCCGCAAGGUUGCAACUCAAAUGAAUUGACGGA
RNAcentral lists this ribosomal RNA (901 nucleotides) under uncultured Bacillota bacterium. Its description in RNAcentral is "bacterial SSU rRNA". It matches the Rfam family "Bacterial small subunit ribosomal RNA", at positions 1 to 917 of the family's 1533-position model. Lineage: Bacteria; Bacillati; Bacillota. The record is from RNAcentral.